RNAcentral lists this ribosomal RNA (623 nucleotides) under uncultured bacterium. Its description in RNAcentral is "bacterial SSU rRNA". It matches the Rfam family "Bacterial small subunit ribosomal RNA", at positions 338 to 951 of the family's 1533-position model. The record is from RNAcentral.
CCUACGGGAGGCAGCAGUGGGGAAUUUUGGACAAUGGGCGAAAGCCUGAUCCAGCCAUUCCGCGUGAGUGAAGAAGGCCUUCGGGUUGUAAAGCUCUUUCGCAAGGGAAGAAAACUUAGAUACUAAUAUUAUCUGAGGUUGACGGUACCUUGAUAAGAAGCACCGGCUAACUACGUGCCAGCAGCCGCGGUAAUACGUAGGGUGCGAGCGUUAAUCGGAAUUACUGGGCGUAAAGCGUGCGCAGGCGGUUUUGUAAGUCAGAUGUGAAAUCCCCGAGCUCAACUUGGGAACUGCGUUUGAAACUACAAGACUAGAAUAUGUCAGAGGGGGGUAGAAUUCCACGUGUAGCAGUGAAAUGCGUAGAGAUGUGGAGGAAUACCAAUGGCGAAGGCAGCCCCCUGGGAUAAUAUUGACGCUCAUGCACGAAAGCGUGGGGAGCAAACAGGAUUAGAUACCCUGGUAGUCCACGCCCUAAACGAUGUCUACUAGUUGUUGGUGGAGUAAAAUCCAUGAGUAACGCAGCUAACGCGUGAAGUAGACCGCCUGGGGAGUACGGUCGCAAGAUUAAAACGUCAAAAGUAGUAGUAGCGNGNGACGNGCGACGACGACGACGAGGGAGGAGG